This 431-nucleotide ribosomal RNA is filed under the name uncultured bacterium. Its description in RNAcentral is "partial 16S ribosomal RNA". It matches the Rfam family "Bacterial small subunit ribosomal RNA", at positions 39 to 507 of the family's 1533-position model. The record is from RNAcentral.
GGGGGGGGGUGGGGGGGGGGGGGGCGCGUGGGGGGCGAGCGACGGGCGGGGGGGGGGGGAGAGGGGGGAGUAACGCGUGGGAACCUCCCGGUUCGUGCGGAAUAGGUCGGGGGAGCAGGAGUUAGUACGCGCACCGCCGUACCGGGCGAAGAUUUAUCGGGUCAGGAUUGGCCCGCGUUAGAUCCGCUAGUGGGUAGGGUUAAGGCCUACCAAGGCGACGAUCCAUAGCCGGUCUGAGCGGAUGAUCAGCGACAUUGGAACUGAGACACGCCCCAAACUCCUACGGGAGGCAGCAGUGGGGAAUAUUGGACAAUGGGCGCAAGCCUGAUCCAGCCAGGCCGCGUGAGGGAUGAAGGCCUUAGGGUUGUAAAGCUCUUUCACCGAUGAAGAUAAUGACGGUAGUCGGAGAAGAAGCCCCGGCUAACUUCGUG